Molecule: long non-coding RNA, 2907 nt
Organism: Alexandromys fortis (reed vole)
Lineage: Eukaryota; Metazoa; Chordata; Mammalia; Rodentia; Cricetidae
Exons: 3
Source: RefSeq, a predicted model, not a curated record
AACCGCGGAGGUAAGAGGACCGGUACUGGGGCGCGAGGGCGCAUGGAUUUAGCCUUGCAAGAGAGAGGACAGUCGGGUUCCCGCGCCUCCCCUCGGUUUAGGGAAAACGUUGCCCUCCGUCGGCCUGUUUGUCCAGCCUGUUCUCUACUGUCUGCCUCUGCUUGUCUGUUUUCCUUGCCUGCUCGUGUGUCUGUCUGCCUGCUCGUCUGUCUGUUCAUGUGUAUGUUGGUGGGCAUACGCCCGCGUCACCGUCCUCCGUGGACGUUUCUGAGAUCUUUACAAGUGGCAGGUGUUGGGGACACCAACGUCCAGGAACGCAUUCGACGGGAGGCUUUGCUUAGGUUGUCCUCCUGUGAAUGGCACUAGAUGCUCACACAAACGACUCUCUCACUGAAAAGCGAUGAUCCCGAAGCAGGUCUCGGAAGGAGCCCAGUCAGUGAACAAGCUUACCCUGUGGCUAGUGGUCGCGAGCCUCACAAGUCUGCACCUUGUCGCUUCCGCUUUGGCAAGGUCUCCUGGGUUCCCUCUGCCGUCCCAGCGAUGCGCUGGCACGGGGCGAGCGGAGAUGAUCCGAUGUUAGACGACUUCGGUGGUCCCUGCUGAUAUUUAAGCAAACACUAAGACUGGAAGCGCUGUAGGAAUGUUUGUUGGCCCCUGGCAACGGGCGUCACCGGCAAGAAGUGUCGCACAAGAUAGACAGAAAAACCAAGGUCUCAGCAGGACGCAAGCCGGAGUCGUGCACGGUUCUCCAGUUCGCCGCUCUGGGAACGAGGUCCGAGGAGAUUUCGGAAUGGACCCGGGAGAAUGCGUAUGUUCUUGACGAGAAGGGCGGCGCACCCGUGUUCCCCAAGAGUUGGAUAUUCCACCCGCGCCGGGUCUGAGGUUCUCAGUCCUACUCCGAGCAGCCAACUCUGCCCACAGUAGAUCAGAAGGACGCUUUGUUUCCUCCACUUGAAAGGAAAAUGGAGCUCAUGAGCAGCCUACUGAUGCUGGGAGUCUCUCUCUGACUUUCAUCCACUGAUGAUGCGGCUACAAAAGAAGGUUCUGGGUCCCCACCUCGCCCUGAAGUUUGGGCUGUCUUCUGGUCACCACGGAGUCCCGUCUCCAGUGUCCCUGUAGCUUCCAGAUGACAACCUGGGACUCCAGGACAGCCAUGGAAGGAUGCGCAAAGCCCCUGUACCUGGGAGUCGUGGCUCUUGCUCCUCUGUUGAUCCCUGAAUCUCCAAGGCUGGUAUGGCUUCUGGACUUGGGAACACCACCCAUCUGGAACUUGGCCUGUUACUGUGAAGACGUAUAAUGCCCUGGGGUGCAGGUCUCCUGAGGAAGGACGUGAUUCUUCUUACACGUCGAUGGGGUUCCCACACUCUUGAGAGGACAAGCCAGCUGAGCCCAUCAUGACCAAUGUCCCAGCAACCCUUGAGCCUGACCAGUGCACCCUCGACUGGCCUGUAGCUGCUGGCUAUUCCCAGAAGUCCCAAGCAUCGUUCCCCGUGAGCCGUUCUAAUGCCUUCCACAGCCAAAACCUGCUUCAAGCCUGUCUUACCAAUCAAGAAGCUGCAUUCCCACCCUGCUGCCAGGAGUUUCAGAUGAACACACUGUCCUUCUAGGUGAACGGUUCACAAGAAUGACCCAGGCGUCUGUAGGAGCUACUGCAGCUGGACUGUAUCCAGGUCCUGAGACCCUCCCUGUACAGAAAAGCCUGAAGGCUGUGCACUCUGUACGGGGUAGCUCUAGGCACAGUGACCUCUCUACUUCCUGUGGCUCAGACACUGGCAAGGACACAUCUAAAGGUUUAAUGUCAGGGUGCUGGGCAUCCUUCCCUUCUGUUGGAAGUGUCCUCACAUCCAUCCACGAAGCGAAACAACCUUUGCCACUUGACCUCAGAGGAGCUUGGACUCUGUGCAGAAGUCUGAGAUCCUCACGAGUUCAGCCGGGGAAGUAGUCCCCCACCUGGUGCUGGUGCCCCAGAUUCCAUCACAGUGUGAUGGUACCAGUGUCCAGGUUUCAACAUCCCUGGAGGAGGUGUCACAGUGAGCUUAUGAGGCUCUUCGGCAGCCGAUGGCAAGCUACCUUUGACCUUUGCUUUUUUUCUAAGUUAGCUGAGAUCUGAGAAGAGGGCUGUGUCUCUCACCCCCACCCCACCCCAGCCCGAGGCCUGGAUGCACCGCCUCCUGCCAUCCCUCUUCAUCUUCUGCAGCAGUCCUCCCUGGGAGCCAUGGGAACCGUGGCCUCCCAGGUACCAGAGACAGGUGCCUCUGUUGUUUUGGCAGAGCCAGCCUGGGUCAGGUGGGGUGCUGGGAGAGAGACACACGGGCUUUGAUUCUGAGCGGCUCCUUCCUCCCCAGCCCUCCUCCCAGCCCACCUGUGCCGAAGAUUCCCCUCUCCACCUGCCUCGGUUCGCUGAGCUGGCACAAAGAGCCUCCCUGGGCCUCAGGUCAGGGGCAUCAGAUUAGCCACCGAGCAGGCCUGAGAGGCAGAGCUCUGGGAGCCCCUUUCUCAGGAUAAAGUCUACUUGUUCUGGACACAGUCACAGGCCUAUUGGGAAGGACAAGGGGAGAUGGUUCAGAAACUAGGGUUACUUCCUCCCAAAGCCCAGGUGUGGGAGCACAAAGACAAAGACCAAUCUCUAUGGUGUUGCUAAAAUCCCCUUACUGAUGUUUAUCCAGAGUCCUACAGUCACCUGCUGUGUGAGCAAACAGUAAAACAAAGAAAUCACAGCAGAUCUCUUAAAAAUACAAGCUUAAUAAAACAGAAAUGAAAUUGUCUCCUUAGCAGAAGACAUAAUAAUAAGUCUGUUAUCCAGAGUUACUUCUGGCCCCAGAGUUCUUUGUCAUUUAUAUCACCGUUCUCAGUGCUUGGUUCCUACUAUAUGGGUACAAGAGAGUUACUGGGGGUCCAGCCAUCUUA